This 497-nucleotide ribosomal RNA is filed under the name uncultured bacterium. Its description in RNAcentral is "partial 16S ribosomal RNA". It matches the Rfam family "Bacterial small subunit ribosomal RNA", at positions 28 to 507 of the family's 1533-position model. The record is from RNAcentral.
GACGAACGCUGGCGGCGUGCCUAAUACAUGCAAGUAGAACGCUGAAGGAAGGAGCUUGCUCUUUCUGGAUGAGUUGCGAACGGGUGAGUAACGCGUAGGUAACCUGCCUGGUAGCGGGGGAUAACUAUUGGAAACGAUAGCUAAUACCGCAUAAAAUUGAUUAUUGCAUGAUAGUCAAUUAAAAGGUGCAACUGCACCACUACCAGAUGGACCUGCGUUGUAUUAGCUAGUUGGUGGGGUAACGGCUCACCAAGGCGACGAUACAUAGCCGACCUGAGAGGGUGAUCGGCCACACUGGGACUGGGACACGGCCCAGACUCCUACGGGAGGCAGCAGUAGGGAAUCUUCGGCAAUGGACGGAAGUCUGACCGAGCAACGCCGCGUGAGUGAAGAAGGGUUUCGGAUCGUAAAGCUCUGUUGUAAGAGAAGAACGAGUGUGAGAGUGGAAAGUUCACACUGUGACGGUAUCUGACCAGAAAGGGACGGCUAACUACGUG